RNAcentral lists this unclassified non-coding RNA (343 nucleotides) under Klebsiella pneumoniae subsp. ozaenae. RNAcentral's name for it is "partial 16S-23S ribosomal RNA intergenic spacer". The stretch from base 239 to 336 matches the Rfam family "Salmonella enterica Typhi npcRNA 44". RNAcentral also lists the same sequence under 1 other name. Lineage: Bacteria; Pseudomonadati; Pseudomonadota; Gammaproteobacteria; Enterobacterales; Enterobacteriaceae. The record is from RNAcentral.
CCUUAAAGAACCUGCCUUUGCAGUGCUCACACAGAUUGUCUGAUGAACGUAAAGAAGCAAGGCGUCUUGCGAUUGAGACUUCAGUGUCCCCUUCGUCUAGAGGCCCAGGACACCGCCCUUUCACGGCGGUAACAGGGGUUCGAAUCCCCUAGGGGACGCCACUUGCUGGUUCGUGAGUGAAAGACGCGUGCCGAACUAUCUCAAAACUCAUCUUCGGGUGACGUUUGAGAUAUUUGCUCUUUAAAAAUCUGGAUCAAGCUGAAAAUUGAAACGACACACAGUCAAUGUGUGUUCGAGUCUCUCAAAUUUUCGCAAUCAGAAGUGAAACAUCUUCGGGUUGUGA